Molecule: ribosomal RNA, 492 nt
Filed under: uncultured bacterium
Lineage: Bacteria
Description: partial 16S ribosomal RNA
Rfam family: Bacterial small subunit ribosomal RNA
Source: RNAcentral
AGUGAACGCUGGCGGUAGGCCUAACACAUGCAAGUCGAACGGCAGCACAGUAAGAGCUUGCUCUUACGGGUGGCGAGUGGCGGACGGGUGAGGAAUACAUCGGAAUCUACUUUUUCGUGGGGGAUAACGUAGGGAAACUUACGCUAAUACCGCAUACGACCUACGGGUGAAAGCAGGGGAUCUUCGGACCUUGCGCGAUUGAAUGAGCCGAUGUCGGAUUAGCUAGUUGGCGGGGUAAAGGCCCACCAAGGCGACGAUCCGUAGCUGGUCUGAGAGGAUGAUCAGCCACACUGGAACUGAGACACGGUCCAGACUCCUACGGGAGGCAGCAGUGGGGAAUAUUGGACAAUGGGCGCAAGCCUGAUCCAGCCAUACCGCGUGGGUGAAGAAGGCCUUCGGGUUGUAAAGCCCUUCUGUUGGGAAAGAAGAGCAGCAGGUUAAUACCCCGCUGUUCUGACGGUACCCAAAGAAUAAGCACCGGCUAACUUCGUG